Harpia harpyja (harpy eagle) is the source of this 4718-nucleotide long non-coding RNA. RefSeq lists it as uncharacterized. Lineage: Eukaryota; Metazoa; Chordata; Aves; Accipitriformes; Accipitridae. The record is from RefSeq and is a predicted model, not a curated record. The transcript is spliced from 4 exons.
UUCCCGCUGGAAAAAGUCAAAAGGGUUCCUGGCAUUAAAACGACCUUGCGUCAUUCCUGAUGAAAUUAGCAGUGCUGCAUGUUUAGAGCUUUUCUAUGGAUGCACUUUGGUCACAGUAAGAAGUAAGAGAUUUGGGGUUUAACCCCCCAUCUGUGCAGGAGCUGUCUGCUUUCAUUAGCUGCGAAACCCGAGACUGGCACUCGAAAGUGCCUUAGACCUGCAGUCCAUUUUUUACUUGUCUUUAAGUGCAAGCGAUGGGAAUUGCUAACCUCGGCUGAGAAAAUUUCAUUUCCCCCAUCCUGCUAAACGGUUCUGGUCGACAUAUGUUUGUUAUCAGAGAGAGGUGCUAUGAACACAGAGCCAUUUUCUUAGCAGCUCUUUGACUCUGUGUUACCAUAGUCCCACACGGCAUUGGUCCUUUCCCGUUGGGAAGUCAUGAAUAAGAGACUAUGAAGCUUGCACGUCAGAUCUUCCUCAAUUAAUCCACCAUUAGCAUGUUUGGGAUCCUCUACUGGAUGGUUAACAGCAGCUUUGGUAACUGUAUGCUGUCCAUACCCAAUUAUGCUCUGCUAAAAAUGAACUCUGCAGAACAACCUUCCUGAGCUGUCAGUGUCUCCCGUUUUCCUAUUUUAACGCUUGUGUGUAGUGGCAGGCGACAGAUGGUGUAGAUCAGAUCGAUUUGAUUGCAUUAGGCGAUUUUUUUUUCCUCCUCUCCCCCCCGACUCCUCUUCUGGAAGCCCACAUUCAUCUGAGAGGCGAUCGCCGGGGACAUGGGAAGCAAGAGCAGCCGCCGAUGUGUGAAAGCAACGAGACAUGGCCAGCCAGGGGCGCCGGGGUCCCUUCCCGGGGUUUGUUAACAUGGUAAUCCGGCACCAGGAGAGAAAGCUGCUUUCUGCUGCCCAGAGCCCAUUCCCCAUCACACAUCAGAUGACUCCCUGGUUUUACACACAGUUGGAGUUCUGCUCGAAACCUGGAUUUAAAGGGAAUCUGUUGCCGCGUGUGACAUCCCUUGCGAGCUCCCAGAGAGAAUUGAUGGAGCGUACAGCUAGGGAAUAGGAUGCCAGAGAAGCACAGAGGAAGAAAGCAGGCAAUCGCCAGGAUGGGAAGGUUCAGCGUCCAUUGGAUAUGGGACGAGAUCACUCGGCACCCCUUGUGGAUUCUCCUUCUUCUAGAGGGGAAUUAUAGUUAUGGAUUUAUUGUCCCGGUGCAGCACUUCCAGCAGCAGCAGCCGCAGCAACAGCAGCAGCUUUCUGACUCUCUUCGGUGACGGGUAUUCUUGGGUGGAUAAUACGGAUUACGUUGUUAUUGCUUAAGAAUACGCGUAGUCGAGGAGAGUACCGGCGGCGGGCAGGCAGGCAGGCAGGCAGCGCGACCGCCCCCAGCCCACCAGCUGGCUCCUAACCUCCUCUAGUUGCCAAGCCGUCCAGCUUAAGUCUCCUGAACUAGCCCGUCUUCCUUCCUCGCAAUGCCAAAUGACCCAUGGAAAGCUGUAGAUCUUCAGUCUGUGGGGACAAUCUAACAUCGGCAAAUUCUGGGGUUGCUGCUACAAGGUAGGGCUACAUCUAACUCCUUCAAACUGUCCCAUCAGCUCAGGUGUCCUGCUCACAUGAAAAGUUCAUGACUCCCACUGCAGAGACCUACUUGUCAGCUUCUUGGAAAACCCUCCUGCCUGCAUGGCAGCCCCCCGGAGACAACUGGACCUUCCACCAGCCAGACAUACAAAUCACCCGCUAACUAGUUUUGGCUGAGGUUGUUGGAUGAAAUCUUCAUAGAUAGAGCCAAGAGGACAGGCAAGAAAUAUUUCUCUUCUUCAUGCCACAACUUGUUUUCUCAUUAUUUCUUCUUGUCUCCUUUUUACACUCCAGGCAUUUUUUUCUUUCCACAUAAGCUAAUAGGAAGAAAUACUGUGCCCUACUCCAGUCAUUUAAUUUAAGUAAUUUGUUUUAAUUCUUAUUACGAGCAUUCAAAUAGCAAGUGAAAUUUAUUGAUAUAUGUUACACUUCUGAAACACUAGAAAAAAUUGUCUGGCCCAUUCUUUGCUAAUGCUGGCUUAGAUGACGUUUCAGGAACAGGAGCCACCCUGCAAAGGGCUGGGCAUGUGCAGAGGACAGGAGCUGUCAGUGAAGCGCAUGGCCACGAAUCUGGUUUUGAUCUGUCCGUGUGAUUUUCCAGGUGAGCCUCGGACCCUGCCUACGCUCUGUGCUCCCAGACGUUGGCCCCACGACGGCAAACGGAGUGACGUCCGAGUCCCGCUUCCCCCGGCCGCGGCACUGGGUGUUCGCUGCUCCCGGAGCUGCCCGCAUGCUGCGGGACACCCAGCUGCCCGACACCUGACCCAGCUCGGCCACUGGUGGGGACGCUGCUGGGGCCGGCUUCUCCCUGCUUGUUGCUGCCUGCCUGCCUUAUUCUUCUGAGUUAUGCCCCAGCCCACGCCCAUCCUGUUGUGCCACUGCCUCCGGGCUGUGUUGAGUUUUCAAUUAUCACAAUAUACAAUGCAGAUGAUAUGUAAAACAGCUCAUGUGACUCGAGCAGGCUGAGCUCAGUAGAAAUACAGUUAAAUAAAAAGUACUGCUAUAAUACCAGGAGGCUGAUUGGAACCACAAGAUACUGGUGUCAUAUCCUGCGGCUUUUAUGUUGGUAGAUGUAGAUUUUAGACAUUAGAGCCUAGCUAUCCGACAGAUAACAACCAGAGGAAAUGGAUCUGGGUAUCUUCAGUUGUGAAUAACUGAUGCACUUUUGCCAAUAAAUGGAGGACCUGGUAAACUGCCAGAAGAAAAAAUCUUUUCAGAUACCUACAAAUACAAUCAGGCAUGUAGUAUGUGGUAGCAUCUAACUACGUGUAACUUAAAGAAACUCCCCGAUUGCUCACAAUACAUUUAAAAUGGUACGUGAAGAGAGCUCUGACCUCAGAGAACCAAUGUGGUUACAUUGUCAAUUCCAAAUUCAGACAAGGAAAUAAAUAGCGAGUGUAGGUCUCAUGUAUCUGUACAAGCAGUAACAAACCCCCAGGUCAGGUAUCAUGAUAUCUAGGUGGGGUAAAACGCUAUGACGAAAGAGGGAGAAAUAAGCAAAAAAUACAAUAAUGUAAAAUGUGCCUGUUACUAACUUCUGGAAAAGCUCAACAGCUAGAACUUUAGAAUGUGGUAUGUAGGCAAAUGUAAAGAGAGCAACACAAUAAGUGUGUUUUUGUCCAGAGCAAAAUGAAAUAGGCAUACAGAGCAAAUUAUAAUAUUUAGUACUUUCAGGGCAAAUUCUAGUUGAGGAUCAUGAAGUAAUUUGAAAAUAUUAAUAAAUUAGCCUCACAGCUAGCUUUCAGGUAGGUAAUAAUGAUAAUUAUUACUAUAAAUAAAUAUUAUUAUUAUUAUUAUCAUUCUUGCUCCAAAGAAAUGAAAAUUGAGGCAUAGAGUAUUUAUGUAUUUGUCCAAAGUCUGUGUUUUACUACUGUAACCAUCCUUCUCUAGAACUAUUAUAUAUCAAAGUUUAUCUUUUUCCAAAUACUGUGUGCAAUACACUAUUCAGCUUAUGAGCUCUAAAAACCAACCAGCUGAGCUUCCUUACGAAACAGUGCCUGUGAACAUCUCCAUUUGCAUUUGAAUUCUCAAGCGACAAUCCUGCUUAAAAAAAUAUAAAUAAAAAAGGAAUCAUGAAAAUCAGUACAAAAUCUGUCAAGGCCCCAUCUGUGACUGGGUAUCAGAAUAUCGCUAAGAAGCUCUGAGGAACAAAGUUCAUUCCAAGUCUAACACAUAGUGCUUUUUGCUCGAUGAAAUUAAUUCAAGCAGGGUGAAAUGAGGGCACAUACCAUGAAAAUCUCUGUUCCUCCACUGAGGAGUGAAGGAAAGCAGCAUCUCUGCUGUGUGUGUGGUCUUGGUUUUGGUACAUGUAGUUGUGCUUAAAUACUAAAGGUUUUACACCGCAAAAUACUCAGUGUGCUCACAUCUCCUUUUCAUGGCCAUGUAUACCUGCUGCUUCUCUGAGGAGUGUCAGGGAAUGAGUAAUCUCUGGUCCUGACAAGAUGAGGACUUAGAUUAUGUAUGCUUGUUGCAAAAAGCAAGCUUUCAUAGCUAGCUACCUGAAGUAGUAUGGAAACAAAAUGAUAGACUCCACCCUGGCCUUGAAAAUACCCCUACAAACAUGUUUAUUUCCUUCUGAAUGGGAAUUUAUAAAGGGUAGGGGCACUUAUUUGUAGGCUAUUUAUAUAUCUCCUCUUCAGGAUCUGAAUUCCUAAAAGUCUUGGCCAUGGCUUUUUGCUCUCACACAUGCAAUAUUUGAAAUUAACUAUGGAAAUAGGAGAACCACAGCAUUAACACCAUUCUAAUGCACUGUAUUAUUUUUCUUUCCCUUUUUUUUAACCAUUAGAGUAUGCAAAUGUUCAGUUAACUGGUCCUCAUGUUUCCUCUUUAUUGAAUUGCUUUCACUAUGGCAAAUAAAUAUUCAUAAAGAAAUGUGGACAAUAAAUCAUUUCAAAUAGUUCAAAGCCAUUUUCUUUCUAGACUGCAUAUAUAUUCAGCUGUGACUCGCCUUUAAUAUUUCAUUCAAAAGAGAGACUUGUAGAAGGACAAUAGAGAUAAUGUGUCAAGCAGUAAUUAAAACAGGGGCUAAUGAUUAAAACCAUUUUGAUCUACACUGUGCUCUGUCAAAUUCAUAAUCUCCUGUGUUUGUUAAGAUGACUUUCUACUUGCUUUAUACAGAAACUCAAAAUAAACUUCUGUUUGAAGACA